Molecule: ribosomal RNA, 255 nt
Filed under: uncultured bacterium
Lineage: Bacteria
Description: partial 16S ribosomal RNA
Rfam family: Bacterial small subunit ribosomal RNA
Source: RNAcentral
UACAGAGGUCCCAAGCGUUGUUCGGAUUUACUGGGCGUAAAGGGUGCGUAGGUGGUUGGGUAAGUUUGAUGUGAAAUCUCCGGGCUUAACCCGGAAAUGGCAUUGAAUACUAUUCGGCUAGAGGUUUGGAGGGGGGACUGGAAUUCUUGGUGUAGCAGUGGAAAUGCGUAGAUAUCAAGAGGAACACCAGUGGCGAAGGCGAGUCCCUGGACAACACCUGACACUGAGGCACGAAAGCUAGGGGGAGCAAACAGG